CCCUUAGAUGUUCGGGGCCGCACGCGCGCUACACUGAAGGAAUCAGCACGUCUUUCUCCUUGUCCGAAAGGACUGGGUAACCCGCUGAACCUCCUUCGUGCUAGGGAUUGGGGCUUGUAAUUCUUCCCCAUGAACGAGGAAUUCCCAGUAAGCGCGAGUCAUAAGCUCGCGUUGAUUACGUCCCUGCCCUUUGUACACACCGCCCGUCGCUGCAACUGAUUGGGUGACCUGGUGAACAUCUUGGACCGGUCCACUCAAUUUCGAGAGGACUGGAAAAGGCCGUAAAUCAGGUACAUCUAGAAAUUGCAAAAGUCGUAACA
RNAcentral lists this ribosomal RNA (320 nucleotides) under uncultured eukaryote. RNAcentral describes it as "partial 18S ribosomal RNA". It matches the Rfam family "Eukaryotic small subunit ribosomal RNA", at positions 1470 to 1796 of the family's 1831-position model. The record is from RNAcentral.